UUGUUGUAUGAGAUGAUGAACGUGUGUCCUCCAUUUCGUGAUAUAAAGGAAAUCAUGGAAGCCGAAGUUAGGUUUGCAAACCCACAUUUAUCCAAAGAAUGCCGUGAUGUGAUUGUCCAGUGCCUAGCCCGUGACCCUACUGAAAGGCCGACCUUGGAGCAGCUCUUGCAGCAUGACUGGUUUAAAACAAAAAAAUGAAGGGAGGAUUGAGUCAGAGGGCUGAAACAUCGGAGUGAUCAGUAUGUGUCCGGUCUGCUGCGCUGGAAGGGGAUGUUAUCAGAGC
Molecule: long non-coding RNA, 283 nt
Organism: Puntigrus tetrazona (Sumatra barb)
Lineage: Eukaryota; Metazoa; Chordata; Actinopteri; Cypriniformes; Cyprinidae
Exons: 3
Source: RefSeq, a predicted model, not a curated record